GCAUUAAAAAGCGCGGGAAAGUGGUUGCCUCUCCAUCGAGCGACACGUGUCUCUAUACCGGAAGCCAGAAACUUAAGUCCGAGUGAAAUGAACCCUCAAAUCGGAGGAGGCUCUCCUUCCGGUUCCUCCGUUCGAUCGUCGAUCCCCACAUUGUCCGCACGUGCGUUUUUGUCGAAGCGGUGGCGAUCCGUCUGGACCGCCGCCCCCGGACCUCGUCUUCUCCUUCCCCUGGCGGAACUCCUCCCCGUCCGUGGACGGCGUCUUGAUCCUCAGGCGUCGCCCAAGGUGAGGAAGUUCCACAUCGACGCCGAUUUUCUCGACCGUUGCGCGCCUGAGCUCAGUCCGUGGCUUCGCUUUGCUGUCGACCGCCGUGUCGAGGACCUCUCAGUCGAUGCGACUAAGAGGUUGUGCGAGAUGGCCGGCAAUUUCGCAGUACCGCGGCUCCUUUUAUGGAUGCUCUUUGUUGGUGAACCUGCACUCAGGGCUCUUAGGUCCCUGUCCGUCUGUGACUCGGAGGUGAUGCAUGAGAUGUCGAAUGGCAGCCCUGUUCUCGAGGACCUUAGUUUGGAAGGAUGCUACGGUUUAAAGCGAACCAUCAAGCUUUGUUCGAGAACUUUGAGGGAAAUUGCGGUCAAUGGCUGCUUUCGGGAUGCACUUGAUGAGGGUUUCCCCUUGGAGAUUUCAAGUCCUCUGUUGCUGCUUGAGAGGAUUUUCUGGUAUGAUGAGGUAGCUGGUAACGGAAGUCUCGAUCCUUGAUUGAAGCAGAGUCCAACUUUUCUAUGAGAGGUGAGGAUUUUGGAAGGCCAUCUGAUUGUUUUGUUCAAAAUCGGUUCAAGUCUUACAGAGGGUAUUGCAACCUGGUUGAGGGACUGCUUCAGAAGCUGCAGAACGCGUCUAAGCUUUUGAUUGGUAGUUGGUGCCUUCAGGAAAUUCAUUCCAAACUUCAGCACAAGGAAUCUGGUUUGCAUCGUUUGCUACUCUGCCUGAUGACCACUGGUGCAAAUACACAUCGUGCCUUUAGAAUAACUACUGAAAAACCAAAGAAAAGGCAGCUGGUUUAGGGUCAUUCUUUUUCCUGCUCAGUAGUGCAUAACCAUCAUUCCAAAGAUCAUAGUAAAUUAUUAAUGAAAAGUUGCUGUGUCCUAUUUUUUAAAGACUGAAGAAGCAGUUGUUGACUAGAGUUAGUACUCAAUUUGUCAUAUAGGUGGGAACCAAAAGUGUUCUCAAAGCAUAAACUUGCUGGGUUUUUUAAACUGUAUUUGGAAGGAAGAGUAAAUUAUCUUAUUCUUUUGCCUUUCAAUUUUUGAAUGUGCUUAGGUUUUAUCACUUGCGGCAGAGGUACAAGGAUAUAUCUCAAGCUAUGCUGCAUACAUGUAUACAUGGAGGGAGGAGUUGGAGAAAGCAAAAGGUCUAGGAGGAUAGGCGGAGCUGCAUCCAAGUAUGUUAAGUUCUCGUAUGACUUUAUCUUUUGGUAAUUCAAAUUCAUAAGAGCUUGGGAUCAGAUGCCUAGCCUUGGUAGUUUUUGUAAUCUAUUCUCACUGGAAAAAUUUAGAGAGGAGUUAUAUUUUCUCCAGAAACAUCUGAAUGUUGCAUGCAUCAUUUUGCCUUCUUGAUAUGGAAAGCAUGUUGUUGAGUGCUUCUUGAACCAAUCCUUGAGUGGUUUCUGUUGAGAUAAGUUGUUGAUACUUGUACACUUGUGAUCCUUGCUUGACGUAUGCUUUCAUGGUUACACUCCACCUCGAGGUUCCAAAGCCGAACAAUAAGAUUCGUUCCUAGAUUGAGAUAAUGGAUUGAAGGCUGCCAAAAAGAUAUAGAUUCCCUAGCUUUAGAUGAUCUAGUAGCCCAAAGAAAUCCCAUGUCAAGCUACCAAUAUCCCUGUCAGAUAUAAUGUGUACUGUUAUGAUGUUUGCCUUACUUCCCAAAUUUUGAACAUGAUUGAUAGGAAAAAAUUUGUUAUGAAAAUUGAUGUAGCUCAUUUAGUUCAAUGUUGAGCUUUCGGGUUGUCUUUUUUCUUUCUUUAAAAGCAUGCCAAUGGCAAGAAUACUAAGUUUCUUGCUUCAUAAAAGCUCCAAUAACUCAAAGAUAAUUUGGUGCAAGCAUAGGAAACUGUCCAAACCAUUCUUGUCCACCCACUUCCUCCCUAUUGGGCAGUUUGCAGCAAGACUUUACUGGUAAGAUCGCAUCUAGGGCAGAACCAGCUGUGGCAAAGAUUUGAGAGAUUUCAAUUGACGUCUUCCAUUGGUCUUGAUGUUAAUGACCAUCUUCUCUAGUAGGAGUGCGUCUCUUGGUAAAAGCAGCAUUGGCAUGGUGAGCUUACAUCCGUCACCAUUGAAGGAACAAGCUAUAAACCAAUGAUCUCCAUGCUCUUCAGAUGCCGAGCCAAACACAUGAAGUUUUGCUUUGGGCAGAAUUCCUCUGCAUUGCAGAUAUGAAGAAUGGCCAGAUCAAAUAUGGCCUGCACAUUUAUUGGUAACAAGACUUAGUGAUCCAUCCAAAAGUGUCAUGAGGAUAAAAAUAGACAUGAAUGACAUUGGCCACUUGACUA
RNA transcript from Eucalyptus grandis, 2545 nucleotides. RefSeq lists it as uncharacterized. The record is from RefSeq and is a predicted model, not a curated record. The transcript is spliced from 3 exons. Lineage: Eukaryota; Viridiplantae; Streptophyta; Magnoliopsida; Myrtales; Myrtaceae.